GUCUACAGCCAUACCACCCUGAACAUGCCCAAUCUUGUCUGGUCUCAGAAGCUAAACAGGGUCAGGCCUGCUUAGUACUUGGAUGGGAGGAAGAUCUUCAGAGGAGACUGUUCAUAGACA
Molecule: ribosomal RNA, 120 nt
Filed under: Castor canadensis (American beaver)
Lineage: Eukaryota; Metazoa; Chordata; Mammalia; Rodentia; Castoridae
Source: RNAcentral